This 253-nucleotide ribosomal RNA is filed under the name uncultured prokaryote. RNAcentral describes it as "partial 16S ribosomal RNA". It matches the Rfam family "Bacterial small subunit ribosomal RNA", at positions 525 to 777 of the family's 1533-position model. The record is from RNAcentral.
ACAGAGGGUGCAAGCGUUAAUCGGAUUUACUGGGCGUAAAGCGUGAGUAGGUGGCUUCCUAAGUCGGUUGUGAAAUCCCUGGGCUCAACCUGGGAAUUGCAGUCGAUACUGGGAAGCUCGAGUUCGGUAGAGGGUGACGGAAUUCCCGGUGUAGCGGUGAAAUGCGUAGAUAUCUGGAGGAAUACCGGUGGCGAAGGCGGCAUCCUGGACCAUUACUGACGCUGAGGCGCGAAAGCUAGGGGAGCAAACGGGA